Molecule: long non-coding RNA, 1126 nt
Filed under: Phasianus colchicus (ring-necked pheasant)
Lineage: Eukaryota; Metazoa; Chordata; Aves; Galliformes; Phasianidae
Description: lncRNA (ENSPCLG00000008456.1)
Source: RNAcentral
CAGAUGUGAGCUGGGAAGAAAACAGGUGAAUGGACAGAUGGGAGCAGGAGGAUGCUCUGAUGAGCAGGUUUGCAGAGGCUCAACUGUGUGCUCAGGGUUGUCCUAUUGACAGCAGAGCCCAACAUGUCAAUACAAAGGAGGGAAGAUGAAAAGCAACGCUCCAUCUGAAAUGGGUUAGAAAAGCUAAGUCUGAGAAUAGCAAACCAUUGCCGCAGGGUGAGGAUCCGGGCCAGGGCUGGGGACCAUCGAUGAGUUUCUGCUGCCAUCCUGUGGCUGUGAUCCGCGCUGCUUUGCCUGAGCCUGGAACAACCUUGCCAGUACAGACGUCAAAGCAGGAUGAGGAUGGCCUCAAGUUGUGCUGGGGGAGAUUCAGAGGCCUCUGCCUGGGGUCCCAAACAGAGCUCAUCUUUCUCCAGGAGACUGAGUUAAGUCUGACUCCAAACACACAGAGAAAAAGCAUCAGCAAUGGACUGGACAGCUUUGUUCCUAAAGGUCUGUCAUGCCUUUCCUCCUCCUCCUCUUGUGGGCAGGCAGAAGCAUAGUUUCUCUGUUGUGGGAAUGGGGAAUGGGAUGUGGUGUGAUGUUCACUCUUCUUGAGAGCUGAUCUUGGCUGGCCCUGCACCAGAAGGUGCGAUGGUGGAGCUGGUGAGCCUGCACUUUGUUGUUCUCAAUCUGGAGACCUUGAGAGUGUGAAGCAGUGGCUGCUGCUCUGACUGCUGGGGAAAGCAGAAAUUGUAGACUCACAGAAUCACUGAGGUUGAAAAAGACCCCUAAGAUCACAAAGUCUAGCCCCAACUCAUCUCACUGCAUCCCUCAGUGCCACGUCUCCAUGGUUCUUGGACAUCACCAGGGAUAGUGAUUGCUCCACCUUUCUGUGCAGCCUGUGCUGGUGCCUCACUACUCUUUAUAAGAACAAAUGCUUCUGGAUACUCAACCUGAACCUCCUCAGUGUGAGACCAUCUCCUCCCAUUGUGUUCCCUGGGAGAAGAGUCCAACCCCCACCUUGCCACAACCUUCUUUCUGAGAGCUGCGGUGAGCGAUGAGGUCUCCCCUGAGAUGCACCUCCAUCCUCCUGGGCUACAAACUCUUUCUUAUCCUGUUUCUCUGAGUCACACCCCCACCACCC